UGUGCAGAAAGGUACCGCUAUGCUAUGCACUAGCCCGUGUUGUCAAUAGGGUACAAAGGUUAUGGAGUAAAUUAUGCUUGAGCUUCUAAACUGAAAGCAACGUCAUUUCUACAUUCAGAGAAAGGAUUGUGCGUGAGAGAUGUUAAGUGCUUUGGCAGUGUUUUUAUAAGAGGAUAUUGUCCAUGUUGGAGCAGUCAUGUCAUGCAGAUCAAGACUUUCGAUGCUCUUGUGUCUUAUACUUUUCCCAAGAGGUCUCGCCUUAGUUCUUAUUGGUAAGCCAGCCAGUCAAAGUUUUUACAACGAUCCCAACCUUUCACCGGACAAAGCAAUAGAUGGAGAUGUCAACACAAUUCAACACACAUUAGGAUGCACUGGGGAGCAGUGGUGGAUGGUAGAUCUCCAAGCAAUCUACUGCUUGACGAAAAUCACUAUAGUCAACAGACGAGACCA
Acanthaster planci (crown-of-thorns starfish) is the source of this 450-nucleotide long non-coding RNA. The record is from RefSeq and is a predicted model, not a curated record. NCBI's taxonomy places the organism in Eukaryota, Metazoa, Echinodermata, Asteroidea, Valvatida, Acanthasteridae.